RNAcentral lists this unclassified non-coding RNA (353 nucleotides) under fungal sp. RNAcentral describes it as "partial internal transcribed spacer region". The stretch from base 1 to 46 matches the Rfam family "Eukaryotic small subunit ribosomal RNA", at positions 1786 to 1831 of the family's 1831-position model. Lineage: Eukaryota; Fungi. The record is from RNAcentral.
AAGUCGUAACAAGGUAUCCGUAGGUGAACCUGCGGAUGGAUCAUUAACGAUACGUGUUGUUCUUCACGGAACACACGUUCCUUACCAACCAAACCUGUGCGAGGAGUUGUCGGGUUGAAAGCCGAAGACUCCGUUUCUUUCUACUUUUUCUUAUACAAACCUUAAAACCCGAUUUCUUCGUUUUCGAAGGACUGAAACCACACUGUUUCAAAUCGAAAGUAAGCGUCGGUUACAAUCGCUUGUUUCUAUUAGACUGUUUUUUUAAACAGUUGAACGGACCGGUUGUUACAUUUGACGCUUCCGAUUAGAUAUGAAAUCCUGUACAACUCUUAGCAACGGAUAUCUUGGUUCUC